Molecule: ribosomal RNA, 253 nt
Filed under: uncultured bacterium
Lineage: Bacteria
Description: partial 16S ribosomal RNA
Rfam family: Bacterial small subunit ribosomal RNA
Source: RNAcentral
UACGUAGGGUGCAAGCGUUGCUCGGAAUCACUGGGCGUAAAGGGUGCGUAGGCGGGUCUUUAAGUCAGAGGUGAAAUCCUGGAGCUCAACUCCAGAACUGCCUUUGAUACUGAGGAUCUUGAGUUCGGGAGAGGUGAGUGGAACUGCGAGUGUAGAGGUGAAAUUCGUAGAUAUUCGCAAGAACACCAGUGGCGAAGGCGGCUCACUGGCCCGAUACUGACGCUGAGGCACGAAAGCGUGGGGAGCAAACAGG